AGAGUUUGAUCCUGGCUCAGGACGAACGCUGGCGGCGUGCUUAACACAUGCAAGUCGCAUGAGAUGAUUGAAAGCUUGCUUUUGAAAGUCGAGUGGCAAACGGGUGAGUAACGCGUAGACAACCUGCCGUAAAGAUGGGGACAACAGUCCGAAAGGACUGCUAAUACCGAAUGUUGUGGAACUUCCGCAUGGGAGCUCUACUAAAGAUGGCCUCUACUUGUAAGCUAUCGCUUUAUGAUGGGUCUGCGUCUGAUUAGCUAGUUGGUGGGGUAACGGCUUACCAAGGCGACGAUCAGUAGCCGGUCUGAGAGGAUGAACGGCCACAUUGGAACUGAGACACGGUCCAGACUCCUACGGGAGGCAGCAGUGGGGAAUCUUCCGCAGUGGGCGCAAGCCUGACGGAACAACGCCGCGUGAGUGAAGAAGGGUUUCGACUCGUAAAGCUCUGUUGUCGGGGACGAAUGUGGAGGUUGUGAAUAACAGCUUCCAAUGACGGUACCUGACGAGGAAGCCACGGCUAACUACGUGCCAGCAGCCGCGGUAAUACGUAGGUGGCGAGCGUUGUCCGGAAUUAUUGGGCGUAAAGGGAGCGCAGGCGGGAGGUCAAGUCUAUCUUAAAAGUGCGGGGCUCAACCCCGUGAGGGGAUGGAAACUGGUCUUCUUGAGUGCAGGAGAGGAAAGCGGAAUUCCUAGUGUAGCGGUGAAAUGCGUAGAUAUUAGGAGGAACACCAGUGGCGAAGGCGGCUUUCUGGACUGUAACUGACGCUGAGGCUCGAAAGCGUGGGGAGCGAACAGGAUUAGAUACCCUGGUAGUCCACGCCGUAAACGAUGAAUGCUAGGUGUAGGAGGUAUCGACCCCUCCUGUGCCGGAG
RNAcentral lists this ribosomal RNA (872 nucleotides) under uncultured bacterium. RNAcentral describes it as "bacterial SSU rRNA". It matches the Rfam family "Bacterial small subunit ribosomal RNA", at positions 8 to 851 of the family's 1533-position model. The record is from RNAcentral.